GAAGCAGGCCGGGCAGUCGCGCCGCGCGAGCGGCGAGGAAGGUCCGGACUCCACAGGGCAGGGUGACGGCUAACGGCCGUGCGCGGUGACGCGACGAACAGGGCCACAGAGACGAGUAUGCGCGGCGCGAGCCGCGCGGACGUGAAACGCGGCAACCUCCACCCGGAGCAACACCAAAUAGGCAGGCGAGGGCGCCGCAAGGCGCCGGGAGCGCGGCCCGCGCGAGCCUGCGGGUAGGUGGCACCGAGCCGGACCGGUAACGGCCGGCCCAGAGGAAUGACUGCCACGUCGGGCAACCGAUGCACAGAAUCCGGCCUACAGGCUUGCUUCGCCC
This 334-nucleotide RNase P RNA is filed under the name Betaproteobacteria bacterium. Its description in RNAcentral is "RNase P RNA component class A". It matches the Rfam family "Bacterial RNase P class A". From Rfam's summary of the family: Ribonuclease P (RNase P) is a ubiquitous endoribonuclease, found in archaea, bacteria and eukarya as well as chloroplasts and mitochondria. Its best characterised activity is the generation of mature 5'-ends of tRNAs by cleaving the 5'-leader elements of precursor-tRNAs. Lineage: Bacteria; Pseudomonadati; Pseudomonadota; Betaproteobacteria. The record is from RNAcentral.